UUUUGUAUAUUGCACGUUGUUUUAAAUUUUUAUUUAUUAUUUAUUUAAUUUGUUUUUAAUUUAUGUUUCUUGCAGGUUUGUCUGCCGCAGUCGUCACAGCCGUAUUUUCUUCUUUCUCCGCAGUUGCAAUCGUCAGGAAUCACAGGAAAUGGUCAACCCAGCCAGGUUGUGCUUAGUUGGCUUUGGAUAAGGAUAUUGAUGGAUUUAGUGGCGCGCUGUCUGGAAUAUGAGGGACCAGUGAGGAUGGACAAAUCCCCCGCCGCAGUCGUCUAGGCUUGGACCAGAAGAAUUCGAUGGCUGUGUCAGAUAAGUUUAUGAUUUAAUUAUGUUUAUUGCGAGUUCAGUUUUAAAGAGUUUUUAAUUUUUAUUUCUCGCAGAUUUGUCCAUGGAAGCAGUCACGGAUUGUCGGAUGCCAAAAAGCCCUUUAAGGCUGGUAAGUAGCUUUUGGUCUAAGUUUGUUAAUUGUGUAUAUGUUAAUCGUUUUAAUUUUUUAUUAUAUCACAGGCGCAGCGGAAGAUUUUUUUUGUUGUUACUGGAUCAUAUUUGAGUCAGAUAAGUUUAUAGUAUAAUUUUUAUUUAAUGCGCAUUUAGCUUUUGUAAAUUUUUGUUUUUAUUUUAUUUUUAGCAGAUUCUUCCAUCGCAGCAGUCGGAGUUUGGAGGCCAAAAAUCAUUUUAUGCAGACGUAUCCCUCGCCGCAGUCGUGUUUACCAGGACCCUGGCAAGCCCAAGCGUGGUUCUGGCUGUGUGUUUGUAUGGAAUUUACUCGUCGCAGUUUUUAUGUGGUUGGGGUAGGCUUGUCCCUCGCCGCAGUCGUGUGGAAUUCCCUCGCCGCAGUCAAGGUGUGGUUGGGGUAGGAGAUGUAUCCCUCGCCGCAGUCGUGUGCACCUGAAGCCGGUCAGGAGCCCAAUUGGGUUCCAAUAAUGAGACUGUGUGGAAUUCCCUCGCCGCAGUCAAGGUGUAGGUUGGGGUAGGAAGUGAAUCCCUCGCCGCAGUCGUGUGCACCCGAAGCCGGGUAGGAGCCCAAAUGCGUUCCAAUAGUGUGUCUGUGUGGAAUUCCCUCGCCGCAGUCAAGGUGUGGUUGGGGUAGGAAAUGUAUCCCUCGCCGCAGUCGUGUGCACCCGAAGCCGGUCAGGAGUCCAAGCGUGGUUCAGACAAGUUCGUCCAUACGAGCAGAUUGAAGUCGUAGCGCCACCCCUCUCCGCAGCUUCAACCAUCAUGAAUCGCAAGGAUGUUCCACCAAUUAGGCUGACCCUAGCUGGCAGUAAGGAAGGGAAGAUACCCCGCUGCCGUCGCCUUUCUUUGGAUCAGAAAGGAGUCCAUCGGCUGUAUGCGCGCCUGUGUGUUCGCGCAGAGCGUGUCCCUCGCUGCAGUCGUGUCCGGAGAUCCUUGUAGGAGUUCGUUGCAUCAGUUUUCACCGUCAUGGUCAAUCAGAGGCGCGACCAAUCAGGCAGCGCGAGGCCUUUCCUAUGGCCAGGAAAGCUGUCAAGGCAGGAACUUAUGCUUGUGCAGAUCAGGCUUUUCAUCUAUAUGAGGUAUUACAGGUGAGUGCUUUGUCUGUCAAAUUUUAUUGGGUCUGUCUUGGUCCUUAAUGUCCUCUGCGUUUAUUGGAGAGUCGACUCUUGCAGCAAGGACACCAAGGGAAAGCUGUGGUUGACAAUGACCCUUAAUCGCGUUUCGUGUGUCUUGUUUAAUGUACCCAUUGCAUGCUUCAUUUUGGGAGAGUCAAUCGCAGCAAGGACCCCUUUUUGGGAGAGCUGCACAUGGCAAGGACCCCUUACUGUGAGCAGGCAUUUUGCGUUCUUUGCCUGGGCUUCGCAUUUUGGAGAGUCGACCCACACAGCAAGGACCCCAAAGGAGAGCUGUGGUCGAUAAGGACCCUUAAUCGUUUACAGUGGCAUGAAUGCUAUUUGUGUUUACUAUAGCUAAGGUUGGGAGAGCUAAUUGUGGUAAGGACCCCUUAUUGGGAGAGCCGCAGUUUGCAAGGACCCCCCAUUGUGAGCGUUGAAGACUUUUUUAAUUUUAUUUGCAACUUUGUUUCACUGUGUGAGAGAGUCAAUCUCCUUAGUAACAUCAGUAGAAACCCCUUUUGGCUCAGUUUAGGAGAGUCAAGUGCAGUAAGGACCCCUUAAUUUGGGAGAGCUGUGCAUGGCAAGGACCCUUUAUUAUGAGCAUCAUUUUGAUUUUUGAUUCAGUUCACGCGUCCAUGCGUCUGUGUAGAAUUCAUUCGCCGCACUCGGCGUGUGGUUGGGGUAGAUGUGUCCCUCGCCGCAGUCGUGUACGCCGGAAGCCGGGCAGAAGUCCAAGCAUGGUUUAGAUGGUCAUGUCCAGCCGGGCUCGUUUUUGUGAGCAGGAUCCAUUUGUGAAUUUUAUACGAGCAGUACAUGGCUCGGGAAGGCAGUUCAAGUCCUCCAGAAGAACGCAAGGACAGUUUGGAGUCGUCCAGGACAGGAGCAGGUGUUUGUGGAUAACUGGUAAUCUAUUGAUGAGCCCAUUUUUGAGUUUAAUUUUGACCCCUUUCCCCUUUUUAUUGUAUUUUUUUAAUUUGUUGAGUAGUAUAGGGUUUGUUGUCCUAUGUGGGUUUGAAAAUCAGGUAUAAUUAUCCUUAUGAUGCCGUGAGGUUGCCCUUCCAUUUUGUCAAGUAGUUCUUCUCGUGUUAUUCUUCCCUCUCUAAAAAGUUUAUUGUAUUUGUUAAUAAGCAUUUCACACCAUCUCUCUGGGGGUUUAGUUUUUAAUGCCUUUUUUCUCUCGUUUUUCUUUUUAAUCUCCUUUUCGUUUUCUUCUAGUUCCUCUCUCUCGUCUGUUAGUCGCAGUAAUGUAGGAAGACUUUUUCUAAAUUUUUCCCUUAAUUUAUUCAGUAUUUGUUUUUCCUCACUUUCCGUGUAACCGUAUGUGCUAUUGUAGGUGGGCUCUAUUGGUGGUUCAGGGAUAUUUGCUCUUGCUGAAGCAGGUAUUUUUGGUAUUGAUCUAGGUAUCUGGAUCUGCUCGCCGCUAGCCUUUUGGGGAUAUACGGUUUUAGGAUGAGAUCUCGUAUAAGUGGAUUUCUGUGGGUUGUUGUUGAGAUCGCAAACCUUUGGCUAGAAUGAGCAAAGACUUCUGAGAAAGAUUUGAUGUUGUGUAUUUCUCUGAUAGUGGAUUGUUUUGUGUACCUAGAUGCAUUAAUAGAUUUUCUUAUUAGCUUAUUCUCCACGGUUUGAAUUUGUUUGGCGCUUGUUUCUGAUAUUAAGGACCCCCAAACAGCUAUUGAGUAGUGCCAGAUGGGCGAUAUUAUUUGUUUAAAGAGAAGUGUUUUGGUGUUGUCAGGUAGUUUGCUUUUUUUGCCUAGUAGCCAUUCUAGUUUUUUAUAGCUUGAGAAGAUUUUUGCUCUUAAUUGUGAGACGUGUGAUUUAAGAGUAAGUUUUUUGUCCAAGAUAACCCCCAAGUAGCGUUGCUUGUUUUGUUUCAUUGUCCUUUGUCCGUCAACAAGUGGGGUAGUAUACGGGUGUUCCUUUCCCCUUAAGGAAAAUAGUAUGUGUCCCGUUUUUUUCGCGUUUAUUGAGAUAUCCCACUGUUUAGCCCAACUACAGUAUUUGCUGAGGUAUUUGUUGCUCAGCUCAGUGGCUGUGUUUGCUGUUGAAGCCCUGCUGAGGAUGACGGUGUCGUCUGCGUAUGUGGCAAGUAGCAUAUUCUUAGGGAAGUAGUUUGGGAAGGACCUUUCAUAGCUGGGGUUAGUUAGGAUUGGAAACGGCAUGUCAGAUGUGAAAACUGAGAAUAGUAUAGGUGCUAGGUUUCCACCUUGGGGCACUCCAGCUGUUAUUUUGCAUGUUUUUGAUGUAGUUCCGUUGCCUAGCUUUACACAGAAUGUUCUGUUCUGUAGGUAGUUUUCUAGGACGUUGAA
This is a long non-coding RNA of Drosophila gunungcola (fruit fly), 3874 nucleotides long. RefSeq lists it as uncharacterized. The record is from RefSeq and is a predicted model, not a curated record. The transcript is spliced from 9 exons. Lineage: Eukaryota; Metazoa; Arthropoda; Insecta; Diptera; Drosophilidae.